This 242-nucleotide ribosomal RNA is filed under the name uncultured bacterium. RNAcentral's name for it is "partial 16S ribosomal RNA". It matches the Rfam family "Bacterial small subunit ribosomal RNA", at positions 84 to 334 of the family's 1533-position model. The record is from RNAcentral.
CCCGGGGCAAAGCCGCGAACGGGUGAGUAACACGUGGGUUACCUGCCCCGAUGACCGGGACAACCCGAGGAAACUCGGGCUAAUACCGGAUGUGCCCGCAAGGGGAAAGGAAGCUUCGGCCUCCGCAUCGGGAUGGGCCCGCGGCCCAUUAGCUUGUUAGUGAGGUAACGGCUCACCAAGGCUGCGAUGGGUAGCUGGUCUGAGAGGACGAUCAGCCACACUGGGACUGAGACACGGCCCAG